Molecule: ribosomal RNA, 508 nt
Filed under: uncultured bacterium
Lineage: Bacteria
Description: partial 16S ribosomal RNA
Rfam family: Bacterial small subunit ribosomal RNA
Source: RNAcentral
GACGAACGCUGGCGGCGUGCCUAAUACAUGCAAGUCGAACGCUUCUUUCCUCCCGAGUGCUUGCACUCAAUUGGAAAGAGGAGUGGCGGACGGGUGAGUAACACGUGGGUAACCUACCCAUCAGAGGGGGAUAACACUUGGAAACAGGUGCUAAUACCGCAUAACAGUUUAUGCCGCAUGGCAUAAGAGUGAAAGGCGCUUUCGGGUGUCGUUGAUGGAUGGACCCGCGGUGCAUUAGCUAGUUGGUGAGGUAACGGCUCACCAAGGCCACGAUGCAUAGCCGACCUGAGAGGGUGAUCGGCCACACUGGGACUGAGACACGGCCCAGACUCCUACGGGAGGCAGCAGUAGGGAAUCUUCGGCAAUGGACGAAAGUCUGACCGAGCAACGCCGCGUGAGUGAAGAAGGUUUUCGGAUCGUAAAACUCUGUUGUUAGAGUAGAACAAGGACGUUAGUAACUGAACGUCCCCUGACGGUAUCUAACCAGAAAGCCACGGCUAACUGCGUG